CUAAGCCCUUUUUGCUGAGGAAGGAAAGAGGUAAAAAUAUCCUUCUUGUCGUCAUCUCACCGCGGCCCUAAACAACGUGCUAAUUAAAAGGCAGACAUAUGAGUGAGCUAUGGCAUGGGCCCAGAAGACAUACACACAUAAUGGAGUUAUCAUGUGGCUUUCAUUGGCAUUUACUCAGCUCUGGGCUGCAGGACUCAUUAUCGUCCGCGGGCUCUGAAGGUGGUGUGGUGACGGUGGGGUGGGGGGCGCUUUUGUCUCCAGAGC
Long non-coding RNA from Alosa sapidissima (American shad), 264 nucleotides. RefSeq lists it as uncharacterized. Lineage: Eukaryota; Metazoa; Chordata; Actinopteri; Clupeiformes; Clupeidae. The transcript has 3 exons. The record is from RefSeq and is a predicted model, not a curated record.